ACUUUGCUAGAAACCACGCAGACAUCCAGGUACAGAAGAACAAAGGAAAGGCUUUUUGCCAGCAAAGGGACCCGCAAGACCCCUUCUCACCAGGGAGAAGUGACAAGAAGUGCCGUCUAUUGUCUGGG
Perognathus longimembris pacificus (Pacific pocket mouse) is the source of this 128-nucleotide long non-coding RNA. RefSeq lists it as uncharacterized. Lineage: Eukaryota; Metazoa; Chordata; Mammalia; Rodentia; Heteromyidae. The transcript is spliced from 3 exons. The record is from RefSeq and is a predicted model, not a curated record.